RNAcentral lists this ribosomal RNA (781 nucleotides) under uncultured bacterium. Its description in RNAcentral is "bacterial SSU rRNA". It matches the Rfam family "Bacterial small subunit ribosomal RNA", at positions 721 to 1501 of the family's 1533-position model. The record is from RNAcentral.
GCAGCCAUCUGGCCUAAUACUGACGCUGAGGUACGAAAGCAUGGGGAGCAAACAGGAUUAGAUACCCUGGUAGUCCAUGCCGUAAACGAUGUCUACUAGCCGUUGGGGCCUUUGAGGCUUUAGUGGCGCAGCUAACGCGAUAAGUAGACCGCCUGGGGAGUACGGUCGCAAGACUAAAACUCAAAUGAAUUGACGGGGGCCCGCACAAGCGGUGGAGCAUGUGGUUUAAUUCGAUGCAACGCGAAGAACCUUACCUGGCCUUGACAUACUAAGAACUUUCCAGAGACGGAUUGGUGCCUUCGGGAACUUAGAUACAGGUGCUGCAUGGCUGUCGUCAGCUCGUGUCGUGAGAUGUUGGGUUAAGUCCCGCAACGAGCGCAACCCUUUUCCUUAUUUGCCAGCGGGUAAUGCCGGGAACUUUAAGGAUACUGCCAGUGACAAACUGGAGGAAGGCGGGGACGACGUCAAGUCAUCAUGGCCCUUACGGCCAGGGCUACACACGUGCUACAAUGGUCGGUACAAAGGGUUGCUACCUCGCGAGAGGAUGCUAAUCUCAAAAAGCCGAUCGUAGUCCGGAUCGCAGUCUGCAACUCGACUGCGUGAAGUCGGAAUCGCUAGUAAUCGCGGAUCAGAAUGCCGCGGUGAAUACGUUCCCGGGCCUUGUACACACCGCCCGUCACACCAUGGGAGUUUGUUGCACCAGAAGUAGGUAGUCUAACCGCAAGGAGGACGCUUACCACGGUGUGGCCGAUGACUGGGGUGAAGUCGUAACAAGGUAACC